CCCCAGACAAUACACAAGCCUGCCAUUCCAUUCGCAGUCCUCUCGUGUAGUAACAAACGGGCCCGUUUUGUUCCGUUUUCAUCUGAGACAGCCCCGCCAAAAUGACUGCCGCUUUUCUCUGGCCGUUCGUUGCCCGCCUGACGCAGGGGAGAGUUCCGGGUCGGGGCUGAUGGGUCUGCCUUGUGUCAGCGGCCAUUUGGACAUCUUGUCGCCGCUCCGUCUGUCGCUGUUGUGAGUCUUCGCUUGUCGUGACGUUGUGCUGAACCCGGCGCCUAGUGCGGCCGGAAGGGUCCCGUGGGCUUGACUUUCUCCAGAAUUCAGCAAGAGCGGGGAAGGGGGAGGUCCUCCGCCAGAUCUGCGGGCGUCGCUUGCGGGGGCUCUCGAAUCCUAAAACCCCAUUAAAAAGGCAUCUUGGAGUCAGGUCUCUUCUCCCUCCCCCCACAGUCUGCACCCUGUAUGGUCUCUGGAAUGGAUCUGAUGUCCAACCUGGGCCUUUGUUCUUCCAGAGUCUGACUUUAGUCAGAAGCUUUCUAUUUCUUAAGAAAGAAGGGUAGUAAUGAAUCUGAAAACGAAUCUAACAACUUUGAAGAAAAACACAUGGAGGAAAGGCCAUCCCAAGCGGUCCCUCUUGUUAAGCUCUGCCCUAUUUCCUGCAGCAGACCCAGAUGGACUUGUUACAAUGUCGAUGCAGACUGCCCUAGUGGAGCAUCUCCAAGGACGGAUGCAUCCGGUCAGGGCCGCUUGAUGUUUUUAUCAGUAAUCUGCAGGCGAACACUGCUGGGAAUUUUCAGACGUCAGCAGUGGGAGUAAAGGCUGACAGGUUGCAUGACGAGUCAGUGUCCCAAAAGAACCCAACAGGCUGCAAUGGACUGAACUGAUUAAGAUGGAAGUGUCUAACAGUGAAAAAACCAGAUGUUUUGGUUAAAAAAAUCAAGCGCUCAAAUCCAAAAAUUAAUGGAGAUCUUGAUGGACUACAAUAAGGGGGCUUGGAAACCACAAGUUUAUCACAUUUUGUGUUGCCCUGAGACAUGUUUAGAACAUAAAAGCUAAAGUCCCAAUGUCCUUGUCAGAUUGGGGUAAUGGGGGAAACCCAAUCUGGACAUUCCAUUCAGUUCAAGUUCUUUUAGGAAGAGAGCACUGAUGAGAUGGAGACCAUGACAGGGAAGGGCCUGGACUCAAUACUAUAAAAGAAUCAGCUGAAAGAGCUCGAGAUGUUUAAGUUGGAGAAGAGAGAAAGUUUUGCAAAGGCUAGCAGGAGCACGGAUGACAGUCAUUCUUAAGAAUCUGGAGAGCUAACAUGAGGAAAAGAGAAUAAUGGGUGGAAAUUUGAGGUAGAUUUUAGCCCGGUAUAAGGGAAAACUUCCUAAUGAUUAGAAUGAUCAAAAAGUGAACCAGCUAUCUUAAAAAAGAUGAGUUCUCUCUUUCUUAAAGACUUCAAGCUAAAGCCUUCAGACUCUUAUCAGACUAUUUCAGAAGUGGUUAAAGCAGUGGGUUUGGAGUCACAAACAUCCGAGUCCAAAUGCUACUUUAGGCACUAAGAAUCCUUAGUUUCCUAAACUGUAAAAAGAAGGGACUGGAUUUAUGGGCCUUCCACCUCUAGACCUACGGUCUCUCCCAAAUGAUUCUAACUGCCAAGUGUGAUUUCCAGCUUUAAACACGUCUCCUGAAGUUCCAGAUUAUCUCAAACUAACAAGAUACAUGCCCAUUUCAGUGUGUCACUGGCACCCCAAAGUCAUAAACCAGCUUUCUUCUACUUUUAUUUCUGUAGCUAUUAGCAUCCCUAUCCUUCUCAACUCUCCAAAGACCUUCCUCAGACUCCUUCACUCCCAUAUCCAAUCCUCUUCCCAAGUCCUGUCUUAUUCCUGCCUCCAUAUCCCUCACACAUCCAGAUCCUUGAAUGUCACUAAUCUUGUGCAAGCCUUUGUCGCUUUACACUUAACUCGUCACUGUUUUAGGUACAGAAAAUAUUUAACACUUGGUCAGAAAGAAAUCUCAAGGGACCCAUGCUAGUACUGGGCACAGAAUUGGAUGCCACUUGACACUUGUUACCAAUAACCAAGUUCUAGAUCACUAUCAUGAGGAAGCAGGGGGCUCUACCUGGGUAAGGAGCAAAGUACAGGCCUGAAGAGCUGUGACCAAACUUCUCACAUCACCUACUGAACUCGGAUCAAGUUGUGAAAGUAGGAGGACAUCAUAGAAGUUCAGGUCAAUUGUCCCUACCCUAGAGGUGAGUAGAAUUCAAUUUUUAAUAUCAAACCCAAAUUCAAGAUUUAGGAUGAGAAACUGGGCAAACAACAACAAAAAAGCCUGAUCAUUAAAAGUGACAGGGAGGCUCAAAACAAAAACUCAGAAGGCAAUGAGUGAAAUAUAUACAAAGCAAAGACUGGAGGGGAGGACAGGGCGGAAUAACUUAACUGUUAAAUUACUUAAAAAUAACUGGCUGAAUGGUAAAAGAGUUGUACAAAACGUAACUGAAUACCUCCUUAAAAAUUAGAUUUGGUCAAGGGGGAGCUAAUAAUUAUAAGAGAUGUCAAGAAAUAAUAAAAGUCAAAAGAAUGGGAAAAAAAUUGAAAAGAACUGAA
Sarcophilus harrisii (Tasmanian devil) is the source of this 2582-nucleotide long non-coding RNA. RefSeq lists it as uncharacterized. The record is from RefSeq and is a predicted model, not a curated record. Lineage: Eukaryota; Metazoa; Chordata; Mammalia; Dasyuromorphia; Dasyuridae. The transcript is spliced from 5 exons.